UGAGGAAUAUUGGUCAAUGGACGAGAGUCUGAACCAGCCAAGUAGCGUGCAGGAUGACGGCCCUAUGGGUUGUAAACUGCUUUUGUAUGGGGAUAAAGUCAAUCACGUGUGAUUGUUUGCAGGUACCAUACGAAUAAGGACCGGCUAAUUCCGUGCCAGCAGCCGCGGUAAUACGGAAGGUCCGGGCGUUAUCCGGAUUUAUUGGGUUUAAAGGGAGCGUAGGCUGGAGAUUAAGUGUGUUGUGAAAUGUAGACGCUCAACGUCUGAAUUGCAGCGCAUACUGGUUUCCUUGAGUACGCACAACGUUGGCGGAAUUCGUCGUGUAGCGGUGAAAUGCUUAGAUAUGACGAAGAACUCCGAUUGCGAAGGCAGCUGACGGGAGCGCAAUUGACGCUUAAGCUCGAAGGUGCGGGUAUCGAACAGGAUUAGAUACCCUGGUAGUCCGCACAGUAAACGAUGGAUGCCCGCUGUUGGUACCUGGUAUCAGCGGCUAAGCGAAAGCAUUAAGCAUCCCACCUGGGGAGUACGCCGGCAACGGUG
Molecule: ribosomal RNA, 540 nt
Filed under: uncultured bacterium
Lineage: Bacteria
Description: bacterial SSU rRNA
Rfam family: Bacterial small subunit ribosomal RNA
Source: RNAcentral